CGAACGAAUCUCUUUUAGAGAUGAGUGGCGAACGGGUGAGUAAUACAUAGGUAACCUGCCCCUGUGCGGGGGAUAACAGGAGGAAACUCCUGCUAAUACCGCAUAGCCAUGAGCACCGCAUGGAGCUCAUGCCAAAUAUCCUUUAUGGGAUAGCGCAGGGAUGGACCUAUGGCGCAUUAGCUGGUUGGCGGGGCAACGGCCCACCAAGGCAACGAUGCGUAGCCGGCCUGAGAGGGCGGACGGCCACAUUGGGACUGAGACACGGCCCAGACUCCUACGGGAGGCAGCAGUAGGGAAUUUUCGGCAAUGGGGGAAACCCUGACCGAGCAACGCCGCGUGAGCGAAGAAGGCCUUCGGGUCGUAAAGCUCUGUUGUAAAGGAAGAACGGCGCAUACAGGAAAUGGUAUGCGAGUGACGGUACUUUACCAGAAAGCCACGGCUAACUACGUGCCAGCAGCCGCGGUAAUACGUAGGUGGCGAGCGUUAUCCGGAAUCAUUGGGCGUAAAGAGGGAGCAGGCGGCCGCAAGGGUCUGUGGUGAAGGCCCGAAGCUAAACUUCGGUAAGCCAUGGAAACCGGGCGGCUAGAGUGCGGAAGAGGAUCGUGGAAUUCCAUGUGUAGCGGUGAAAUGCGUAGAUAUAUGGAGGAACACCAGUGGCGAAGGCGACGGUCUGGGCCGCAACUGACGCUCAUUCCCGAAAGCGUGGGGAGCAAAUAGGAUUAGAUACCCUAGUAGUCCACGCCGUAAACGAUGGUCACUAAGUGUCGGGGGUCAAACCCCG
RNAcentral lists this ribosomal RNA (781 nucleotides) under uncultured bacterium. RNAcentral's name for it is "bacterial SSU rRNA". It matches the Rfam family "Bacterial small subunit ribosomal RNA", at positions 63 to 842 of the family's 1533-position model. The record is from RNAcentral.